Molecule: non-coding RNA, 73 nt
Organism: Potamilus streckersoni
Lineage: Eukaryota; Metazoa; Mollusca; Bivalvia; Unionida; Unionidae
Source: the annotation of a GenBank genome assembly
GCUCCGGUGGCCUAGUAGUUAGAGCGUCUGCCUCAGAUGCUGGAGGUCGCGGGUUCGAACCACGGCUGUGCCA